This 501-nucleotide ribosomal RNA is filed under the name uncultured bacterium. RNAcentral describes it as "partial 16S ribosomal RNA". It matches the Rfam family "Bacterial small subunit ribosomal RNA", at positions 30 to 523 of the family's 1533-position model. The record is from RNAcentral.
AUUGAACGCUGGCGGCAGGCUUAACACAUGCAAGUCGAGCGGGGGAAGGUAGCUUGCUACCGGACCUAGCGGCGGACGGGUGAGUAAUGCUUAGGAAUCUGCCUAUUAGUGGGGGACAACAUCCCGAAAGGGAUGCUAAUACCGCAUACGUCCUACGGGAGAAAGCAGGGGAUCUUCGGACCUUGCGCUAAUAGAUGAGCCUAAGUCGGAUUAGCUAGUUGGUGGGGUUAAGGCCUACCAAGGCGACGAUCUGUAGCGGGUCUGAGAGGAUGAUCCGUCACACUGGAACUGAGACACGGCCCAGACUCCUACGGGAGGCAGCAGUGGGGAAUAUUGGACAAUGGGGGGAACCCUGAUCUAGCCAUGCCGCGUGUGUGAAGAAGGCCUUAUGGUUGUAAAGCACUUUAAGCGAGGAGGAGGCUACUCUAGUUAAUACCUAGGGAUAGUGGACGUUACUCGCAGAAUAAGCACCGGCUAACUCUGUGCCAGCCGCCGCGGUAA